Molecule: ribosomal RNA, 479 nt
Filed under: uncultured bacterium
Lineage: Bacteria
Description: bacterial SSU rRNA
Rfam family: Bacterial small subunit ribosomal RNA
Source: RNAcentral
GAUGAACGCUAGCGGCAGGCUUAAUACAUGCAAGUCGAGGGGCAUCAAGGUACACGAAAGUGUAUUGUUGGCGACCGGCGGACGGGUGAGUAAUAGGUAGGUAACCUACCUCAUACUGAGGCAUAGCUGGGAGAAAUUCCAGGUAAUUCCUCAUGAGGUUAUAUGACACAUGUGAUAUAAUCAAAGGUAUCGCAAGGCACUGGUAUGAGAUGGGCUUACUGACCAUUAGCUAGUUGGUGAGAUAAGAGCUCACCAAGGCGAAGAUGGUUAGGGGUUUUGAGAGAGAGAUCCCCCACAUUGGAACUGAGAUACGGUCCAGACUCCUACGGGAGGCAGCAGUAGGGAAUAUUGGGCAAUGGGCGGAAGCCUGACCCAGCCAUGCCGCGUGAAGGAAGACGGCCUUAGUGGGUUGUAAACUUCUUUACUAUGCGACUACUAGAUUUACGAGAUAAUUCUAUAGAAUGUAGCAUAGCAAAAAG